Dendroctonus ponderosae (mountain pine beetle) is the source of this 684-nucleotide long non-coding RNA. RefSeq lists it as uncharacterized. NCBI's taxonomy places the organism in Eukaryota, Metazoa, Arthropoda, Insecta, Coleoptera, Curculionidae. The record is from RefSeq and is a predicted model, not a curated record. The transcript has 2 exons.
AAAAGGUUUGGAAUUUUCGCUCAAACCUAAAAUAAAAAAGCAAGCGUCCGAUCUAAAGGGUAUUGAAUGCACAUCGAAUGUUUUCCCGGUUUCCAAGAUACAACUUUUUUUAAAUCAGGAAAGCUUAAGUUUUCGCUCCAAAAACCUUCGAUAAAAUUAUGUUUCUUGCGUUUAAAAUACAUCGCAAAAAGACACAAAAAAUCAGCAUGUUUUGGCAAAGAAAAACGGCAAAAAUUCGAUUUGAUGAGUGUGAUUUUUUGCAGUUUUGGCCCAAGAUGAUAACGAAUCAGAUGAUCCCACCUCAGAGGAACUGUGCCUAAACCGACCGGCCGACGAGUACUUCCGACUAUCAACUGAAGGAGACUGUCGGGACGUUGUAAGGUGUGAUUUUAAUAGUGAUAAUAACGGCGUGACCAGACUGGCAUCAGUUCGAUGUCCAGUCGGUUUGGCUUUCGACGUCGAUAGACAGACCUGCGACUGGAAAACAAAUGUUAAAAAUUGCGAUAAGCUCGAGAGUAAGUCGAUACGGAAGGAAUGGUGACCAUGAACGAAUGAAUGAAGCGCUUAGCGCCUUUCUGCGUCAGUAUCAGUUCCACCCAGUUGUUCCUGGUCACUUUUCCUUGGUUCAAGCAUUAAUAUUAAGGAAGCAUUUUAACGUACAGGUGUACAAAGUCCGGUUUAAAA